Long non-coding RNA from Oreochromis niloticus (Nile tilapia), 949 nucleotides. RefSeq lists it as uncharacterized. The transcript has 3 exons. NCBI's taxonomy places the organism in Eukaryota, Metazoa, Chordata, Actinopteri, Cichliformes, Cichlidae. The record is from RefSeq and is a predicted model, not a curated record.
AAGAUAUGGAGGGUGAGGUACUUAGCCUAGCCAAGUAAAGCUAGUCUAUGGCUUCUUUUCCUUCUGGAUAGGUCAUGUCCUCAAGCUAGAUUAGCAGGAGCAUUUCCAUCUACAAAGGGAGAGACAAAGUCUAUGUUAUGAAGAAGGAGAAGGGAAGUGGAGCAACCUGACCCAAAACUCAACAAAAAAAGAUUGAGUGUGAGGGUUGUCUGGGACCACUUUUAAGUUUGCUAACUCACUGUUGUGCUAGAUUUAAGCAGAGAAACUACAAAGUUAACCAUAGAGGCGCUGACAGCAGUGCACAUUUCGCAUGCUAUUGCAGAAGUUGCCUAACUUUAAAUCCAAGCUGUAAGUCAUAUUGACAACUUACAGCUGUUUUCUGGGAGACAACGGUUUCCGAAUCAAGUCCACUGUGUGCGCUUUGAAAGAGGUCAACUGUAAAAGUAAGUACAACAGAGAAUUUUAUCAAGGUGCUGGAAGGAAAACCAUGUCGCCUUAUAGCACAUAUUACUCCACUGAAGCAGAAAUCUGCUUUUCAUCGGACAUCGCUGUGAGCGGCUGAUUGACUGCUGGACCGAGGAUCGAUUCAUUGUCGUUGCUGGUGUCGACAGUUAAGGCAGUAAUUUCCACAGUGGUUUUCUACAAACAAAAACACGUUAGUUACAAAUUGCAUUCAACAAUCGUCUUCUUCCUCAUGUCUUGAUUUUGUAAAUGCAGUUUUAGACUUUCGUCAGAGGAAUUUUGAAUGGAGCCGAUAAAACCUGUUUUGGGUGUUGAAUCUUGUUCUUUAUUGAAGAUUUCUUUGAACUGUGGCGAAAUAAUUCUUAAUGUUCUUUGUUACUAGUGUAUCCACAAGAUGUUUAGAAUUUAAAAACUUUUUUCAGCUUGUCGUUGGCGCACUUUUGAAUAGGACAGCUUGUUUUUCAGCACCGUACCCCACCUACUUUUA